GUCGGGAUAGCUCAGCCGG
This 19-nucleotide transfer RNA is filed under the name Cuscuta japonica (Japanese dodder). Its description in RNAcentral is "partial tRNA-Phe". RNAcentral also lists the same sequence under 2 other names. Lineage: Eukaryota; Viridiplantae; Streptophyta; Magnoliopsida; Solanales; Convolvulaceae. The record is from RNAcentral.